RNAcentral lists this ribosomal RNA (440 nucleotides) under uncultured bacterium. RNAcentral describes it as "partial 16S ribosomal RNA". It matches the Rfam family "Bacterial small subunit ribosomal RNA", at positions 338 to 795 of the family's 1533-position model. The record is from RNAcentral.
CCUACGGGCGGCAGCAGUGGGGAAUAUUGCACAAUGGGGGAAACCCUGAUGCAGCGACGCCGCGUGAGUGAAGAAGUAUUUCGGUAUGUAAAGCUCUAUCAGCAGGGAAGAAAAUGACGGUACCUGACUAAGAAGCCCCGGCUAACUACGUGCCAGCAGCCGCGGUAAUACGUAGGGGGCAAGCGUUAUCCGGAUUUACUGGGUGUAAAGGGAGCGUAGACGGCAGCACAAGUCUGGAGUGAAAUGCCGGGGCUUAACCCCGGAACUGCUUUGGAAACUGUGCAGCUAGAGUGCAGGAGAGGUAAGUGGAAUUCCUAGUGUAGCGGUGAAAUGCGUAGAUAGUAGGAGGAACACCAGUGGCGAAGGCGGCUUACUGGACUGUAACUGACGUUGAGGCUCGAAAGCGUGGGGAGCAAACAGGAUUAGAUACCCCAGUAGUC